GCAGUAGUUAAUAUAUCAGUCCUGAGGAGGGGAUCUUGUAGUGUAGUAUUAAUGUGCAUCAGAGGUUGAGGUUCAAGCCCCAGAAAUGUGUUGUUGUGGGGAAUAUCACCAGCCUCAGAGUCGGGGUUCAACGACAGAGUUUAUUGCACAAGGAAAUACCGGAGCUCCGGGGAGAGAAGGACACCAUCAGCAGAGUGGUCAGCUGCAAGUCUUCUCUUGACCUGGACACAUGUCAAGAUACUUUUAUACGUUUUGUAAUAAUAGGUACAAAUUGGUUCUUACCCCAGCUUUGACCAGGACACCAGUAACAAAAACCCUGCUCGCAGCGCCACUUGUUGUGGGGAAAAUCACCAGCUUCGGAGUCAGAGUCUGGGUUCAAUGGCAGAGAUUACUGAACAAGGAAAUACCGGAGCUCCGGGGAGAGAAGGACACCAACAGCAGAGUGGUCAGCUGCGAUUCUUCUCUCAACCCGGACACAUGUCAAGAUAUGUUUUAUAUGUUUUGUAAUAAUAGAAAAUACUUCACCUUGAGAUAUCUCUUCA
Chiloscyllium plagiosum (whitespotted bambooshark) is the source of this 542-nucleotide non-coding RNA. NCBI's taxonomy places the organism in Eukaryota, Metazoa, Chordata, Chondrichthyes, Orectolobiformes, Hemiscylliidae. The record is from RefSeq and is a predicted model, not a curated record.